GCUUACGGCCACACCUCCCUGAGCACCGCCCGAUCUCGUCUGAUCUCGGAAGCUAAGCAGGUCGGGCCCGGUUAGUACUUGAUGGAAACCGCCUGGAAUACCAGGUGCUGUAAGCC
Molecule: ribosomal RNA, 116 nt
Filed under: Esox lucius (northern pike)
Lineage: Eukaryota; Metazoa; Chordata; Actinopteri; Esociformes; Esocidae
Source: RNAcentral